AUUGAACGCUGGCGGCAUGCCUUACACAUGCAAGUCGAACGGUAGCGGGCCUUCGGGUGCCGACGAGUGGCGAACGGGUGAGUAAUGCAUCGGAACGUGCCAUUGAGUGGGGGAUAACGUAGCGAAAGUUACGCUAAUACCGCAUAUUCUGUGAGCAGGAAAGCAGGGGACCGCAAGGCCUUGCGCUCUUUGAGCGGCCGAUGUCAGAUUAGCUAGUUGGUGAGGUAAAGGCUUACCAAGGCGACGAUCUGUAGCGGGUCUGAGAGGAUGAUCCGCCACACUGGAACUGAGACACGGUCCAGACUCCUACGGGAGGCAGCAGUGGGGAAUUUUUGGACAAUGGGCGCAAGCCUGAUCCAGCCAUGCCGCGUGAGUGAAGAAGGCC
Molecule: ribosomal RNA, 385 nt
Filed under: uncultured bacterium
Lineage: Bacteria
Description: bacterial SSU rRNA
Rfam family: Bacterial small subunit ribosomal RNA
Source: RNAcentral